RNAcentral lists this RNase P RNA (422 nucleotides) under Dehalococcoidia bacterium. Its description in RNAcentral is "Bacterial RNase P class A". It matches the Rfam family "Bacterial RNase P class A". Rfam says of the family: Ribonuclease P (RNase P) is a ubiquitous endoribonuclease, found in archaea, bacteria and eukarya as well as chloroplasts and mitochondria. Its best characterised activity is the generation of mature 5'-ends of tRNAs by cleaving the 5'-leader elements of precursor-tRNAs. Cellular RNase Ps are ribonucleoproteins. Lineage: Bacteria; Bacillati; Chloroflexota; Dehalococcoidia. The record is from Rfam by way of RNAcentral.
UUAGCAGGACGGACGGCCGCCUUUCCGACACGUCGGAGGGGAGGAAAGUCCGAGCUCCAGCGGGCAGGGUGCUGGGUAACACCCAGGCGUGGCGACGCGAUGGAAAGUGCCACAGAAACUAAACCGCUGGUAUUGAGAUGGGGGACACCCCCAAACCCCCGCUAAAGGGGCGCAAGGGGGCCUCUAACCCAAUCCCAGCAAGGGUGAAAAGGUGCGGUAAGAGCGCACCGGCGGGCGGGUGACCGUCCGGCCGGGCAAACCCCACCCGGAGCAAGACCAUGUAGGAGGACAAUGAGCGCCCGGCUCGUCCUCGGGUUGGUCGCACGAGGCGUCGAGUAAUCGGCGUCCCAGAUGGAUGGCCGUCGGUCCCUCCCAGCAAUGGGAUGGAUGCACAGAACUCGGCUUACAGUCUUGCUGGCUAG